Molecule: ribosomal RNA, 492 nt
Filed under: uncultured bacterium
Lineage: Bacteria
Description: partial 16S ribosomal RNA
Rfam family: Bacterial small subunit ribosomal RNA
Source: RNAcentral
AGUGAACGCUGGCGGUAGGCCUAACACAUGCAAGUCGAACGGCAGCACAGUAAGAGCUUGCUCUUACGGGUGGCGGGUGGCGGACGGGUGAGGAAAACAUCGGAACCUACUUUUUCGUGGGGGAUAACGUAGGGAAACUUACGCUAAUACCGCAUACGACCUACGGGUGAAAGCAGGGGAUCUUCGGACCUUGCGCGAUUGAAUGAGCCGAUGUCGGAUUAGCUAGUUGGCGGGGUAAAGGCCCACCAAGGCGACGAUCCGUAGCUGGUCUGAGAGGAUGAUCAGCCACACUGGAACUGAGACACGGUCCAGACUCCUACGGGAGGCAGCAGUGGGGAAUAUUGGACAAAGGGCGCAAGCCUGAUCCAGCCAUACCGCGUGGGUGAAGAAGGCCUUCGGGUUGUAAAGCCCUUUUGUUGGGAAAGAAAAGCAGCAGGUUAAUACCCCGCUGUUCUGACGGUACCCAAAGAAUAAGCACCGGCUAACUUCGUG